CCUACGGGAGGCAGCAGUGGGGAAUAUUGCACAAUGGGGGAAACCCUGAUGCAGCGACGCCGCGUGAGUGAAGAAGUAUUUCGGUAUGUAAAGCUCUAUCAGCAGGGAAGAACUAAAGUCCUUCGGACUUUGGACGGUACCUGACUAAGAAGCCCCGGCUAACUCCGUCCCAGCAGCCGCGGUAAUACGGAGGGGGCAAGCGUUAUCCCGAUUUACUGGGUGAAAUGGGAGCGUAGACGGCAGCGCAAGUCUGGAGUAAAAUUCCAUGGCUUAACCAUGGAACUGCUUUGGAAGCUGUGCAGCUGGAGUGCAGGAGAGGUAAGCGGAAUUCCUAGUGGAGCGGUGAAAUGCGUAGAUAUUAGGAGGAACACCAGUGGCGAAGGCGGCUUACUGGACUGUAACUGACGUUGAGGCUCGAAAGCGUGGGGAGCAAACAGGAUGAGAUACCCGAGUAC
RNAcentral lists this ribosomal RNA (455 nucleotides) under uncultured bacterium. RNAcentral describes it as "partial 16S ribosomal RNA". It matches the Rfam family "Bacterial small subunit ribosomal RNA", at positions 338 to 793 of the family's 1533-position model. The record is from RNAcentral.